CGCCCUAAACGAUGUCUACUAGUUGUCGGGUUUUAAUUAACUUGGUAACGCAGCUAACGCGUGAAGUAGACCGCCUGGGGAGUACGGUCGCAAGAUUAAAACUCAAAGGAAUUGACGGGGACCCGCACAAGCGGUGGAUGAUGUGGAUUAAUUCGAUGCAACGCGAAAAACCUUACCUACCCUUGACAUGUACGGAAGUCACGAGAGAUCGAGAUGUGCUCGAAAGAGAACCGUAACACAGGUGCUGCAUGGCUGUCGUCAGCUCGUGUCGUGAGAUGUUGGGUUAAGUCCCGCAACGAGCGCAACCCUUGUCAUUAGUUGCUACAUUUAGUUGAGCACUCUAAUGAGACUGCCGGUGACAAACCGGAGGAAGGUGGGGAUGACGUCAAGUCCUCAUGGCCCUUAUGGGUAGGGCUUCACACGUCAUACAAUGGUACAUACAGAGGGCCGUCAACCCGCGAGGGGGAGCUAAUCCCAGAAAGUGUAUCGUAGUCCGGAUCGUAGUCUGCAACUCGACUACGUGAAGUUGGA
Molecule: ribosomal RNA, 531 nt
Filed under: uncultured bacterium
Lineage: Bacteria
Description: bacterial SSU rRNA
Rfam family: Bacterial small subunit ribosomal RNA
Source: RNAcentral